RNAcentral lists this ribosomal RNA (253 nucleotides) under uncultured bacterium. Its description in RNAcentral is "partial 16S ribosomal RNA". It matches the Rfam family "Bacterial small subunit ribosomal RNA", at positions 524 to 776 of the family's 1533-position model. The record is from RNAcentral.
UACGGGGGGAGCAAGCGUUGUUCGGAUUUACUGGGCGUAAAGGGCGCGUAGGUGGCCUUCUAAGUUGAACGUGAAAUCCCUGGGCUCAACCCAGGAACUGCGUCCAAGACUGGGAGGCUUGAAUCCGGGAGAGGGAUGCGGAAUUCCAGGUGUAGCGGUGAAAUGCGUAGAUAUCUGGAGGAACACCGGUGGCGAAGGCGGCAUCCUGGACCGGGAUUGACACUGAGGCGCGAAAGCCAGGGGAGCAAACGGG